UAGGGAAUCUUCCACAAUGGACGCAAGUCUGAUGGAGCAACGCCGCGUGAGUGAAGAAGGUCUUCGGAUCGUAAAACUCUGUUGUUAGAGAAGAACACGAGUGAGAGUAACUGUUCAUUCGAUGACGGUAUCUAACCAGCAAGUCACGGCUAACUACGUCNCGA
This 164-nucleotide ribosomal RNA is filed under the name uncultured bacterium. RNAcentral describes it as "partial 16S rRNA". It matches the Rfam family "Bacterial small subunit ribosomal RNA", at positions 355 to 511 of the family's 1533-position model. The record is from RNAcentral.